Molecule: ribosomal RNA, 372 nt
Filed under: uncultured beta proteobacterium
Lineage: Bacteria; Pseudomonadati; Pseudomonadota; Betaproteobacteria
Description: bacterial SSU rRNA
Rfam family: Bacterial small subunit ribosomal RNA
Source: RNAcentral
GUAGGGUGCGAGCGUUAAUCGGAAUUACUGGGSGUAAAGCGUGCGCAGGCGGCCCUUUAAGACAGGUGUGAAAUCCCCGGGCUUAACCUGGGAAUGGCGCUUGUGACUGGGGGGCUUGGAGUGCGGAAGAGGGAGAUGGAAUUCCUGGUGUAGCAGUGAAAUGCGUAGAGAUCAGGAGGAACACCGAUGGCGAAGGCAGUCUCCUGGGCCAGCACUGACUCUCAGGCACGAAAGCGUGGGGAGCAAACAGGAUUAGAUACCCUGGUAGUCCACGCCCUAAACGAUGUCGACUAGUUGUUGGGGAAGGAGACUUCCUUAGUAACGCAGCUAACGCGUGAAGUCGACCGCCUGGGGAGUACGGCCGCAAGGUUA